This 469-nucleotide ribosomal RNA is filed under the name uncultured bacterium. Its description in RNAcentral is "bacterial SSU rRNA". It matches the Rfam family "Bacterial small subunit ribosomal RNA", at positions 29 to 507 of the family's 1533-position model. The record is from RNAcentral.
ACGAACGCUGGCGGCGUGCUUAAUGCAUGCAAGUCGAACGAGAACUACUUCACUCGUAAGAGCGAGGUAGGACAGUGGCGAACGGGUGCGUAACACGUGAGAAACCUGCCUUGAGAGUCGGAUAGGCCCGGGAAACCCGGAUUUAAUACCGAAUACCUUCAUGACACCGCAUGGUGAUAUGAAGAAAUGGUCCGCCGCUCCAAGAUGGUCUCGCGGCCUAUCAGCUUGUUGGUGAGGUAACGGCUCACCAAGGCGAAGACGGGUAGCUGGUCUGAGAGGACGAUCAGCCACACUGGGACUGAGACACGGCCCAGACUCCUACGGGAGGCAGCAGCAGGGAAUAUUGCACAAUGGGCGAAAGCCUGAUGCAGCGACGCCGCGUGCGGGAUGAAGGCCUUCGGGUUGUAAACCGCUUUCAGCAGGGACGAAAAUGACGGUACCUGCAGAAGAAGCCCCGGCCAACUACGUG